ACACUGUCCCCUUCUCCCCAG
RNAcentral lists this microRNA (21 nucleotides) under Homo sapiens (human). RNAcentral's name for it is "hsa-miR-6760-3p". Lineage: Eukaryota; Metazoa; Chordata; Mammalia; Primates; Hominidae. The record is from miRBase by way of RNAcentral.